Molecule: long non-coding RNA, 373 nt
Filed under: Spirodela polyrhiza (greater duckweed)
Lineage: Eukaryota; Viridiplantae; Streptophyta; Magnoliopsida; Alismatales; Araceae
Description: long non-coding RNA (SPOL_LNC001417)
Source: RNAcentral
CUAUGGACGACGCAGAGGAGGUUCUGUUCUUCCGGCAUUGCGUUCCCAAGAGCUGGUGGAAGCUCCUCAGGUGGCUGGGGGUUGGAGAAGAGAAGAGGAUGUCGCUUGCGUGGGAUGCCAUUGACGACUUUAUACACAACCAGAUUUCCCUGAGGAUGGAGAAGGUGAGCAAGAUGAGAGAGGAUAAGGGGGCGGACGAAGAAUUGGCGCCGGACCUUCUCACUUCAUUCAUGCGCCUUCGACCAGACGUCGGAGACAUGACUGUCGAUUCGAAGAAGUUCCUACGUGACACAACGCUGAACCUGAUGCUGGCUGGGAGAGACACCACCGGCGCGGGGCUUGCAUGGUUCUCCUGGAUGGUCUCCCAGCAUCC